This 21-nucleotide non-coding RNA is filed under the name Caenorhabditis elegans. The record is from RNAcentral. Lineage: Eukaryota; Metazoa; Nematoda; Chromadorea; Rhabditida; Rhabditidae.
UUAUUUUCUAAUCGAUCGAGU